RNAcentral lists this transfer RNA (85 nucleotides) under Felis catus (domestic cat). It matches the Rfam family "tRNA". Rfam says of the family: Transfer RNA (tRNA) molecules are approximately 80 nucleotides in length. Their secondary structure includes four short double-helical elements and three loops (D, anti-codon, and T loops). Lineage: Eukaryota; Metazoa; Chordata; Mammalia; Carnivora; Felidae. RNAcentral also lists the same sequence under 1 other name. The record is from Rfam by way of RNAcentral.
GCCUGGGUGGCUCAGUCGGUUAAGUGUCUGACUUGGGCUCAGGUCAUGAUCUCGCUGUCUGUGAGUUCGAGCCCCACAUCGGGCU